This is a non-coding RNA of Stereum hirsutum FP-91666 SS1, 104 nucleotides long. The record is from the annotation of a RefSeq genome assembly. NCBI's taxonomy places the organism in Eukaryota, Fungi, Basidiomycota, Agaricomycetes, Russulales, Stereaceae.
AGCUCGAUAGCGCAAUGGUAGUGCAUCCGCGUCCACUUUCUCCGUCUAUCAAUUUUCAGAUAAUGGGUGACGGGAAGAUCUCGGUUCGAAUCCAAGUCGAGCUA